Dreissena polymorpha is the source of this 2438-nucleotide long non-coding RNA. RefSeq lists it as uncharacterized. Lineage: Eukaryota; Metazoa; Mollusca; Bivalvia; Myida; Dreissenidae. The transcript has 2 exons. The record is from RefSeq and is a predicted model, not a curated record.
UAGAACUGGUGAACCGAAGGGGGCAGAUGGAGACGGCGUAUUUACAGUAUAAUAAGAAUCGUACCAAUGAUAAAGUUUAGAAUUAGCUACUGACUUAAAUCUUUUAUAAGUUAGUCUCCUUCAGGUAUUAUUAGCUUUUUUUCAGGAAGAUGUAAAUAAAUUAUGGCUAUUUUUCUGAACAACAAAGUUUAAAUUGAAACUUCCUGUAGAGAGACAAGAUCCAUAUUUAUUGAAUUUUUGCUUAAUUAUGUUAUAAAUACAUAGAUAAAUUAAAUCACUAUUUGUAUUGCAUUAUGUUUUAUAUUCCAUUACAUUUCAUGCCAAACAUAAAUUAUUUACCAUCUAACCAUUUAGAAUAAAAACAAACACAUUUGUUUAGAUGUCACAGGGCUCGACAUUAAAGGUAGUCCGACUGUCCGGGACAACCAAAGUGUUAGUCUGGACAAGUUAAUUAAGAAUUUGCUAGUCCGACAGGACAAGUGGUCGUUAUAAUUUAAUUACUUAGAACAAAUGCCUUUAAAUCCGUUAUUUCUGUGGAGUAACCACCCUUUUUUUUAAAAUAUAUAUUUUGUUUACGUUUAAACGACAAAGCACGAGAUAUUCCGAUAGUUCCAUGGGAUACUACACCGUACUGAUUAUAAGGGAAGCAACCCUGAACAUUUUUUCUUUGCCAAGAUAACAAGAUUAUUCUCCCUUGUAGUGAAAAUGCAUUUUACAACACCGGUACACAUUGAUCUUUAAGACAAAUAAAGUAGUAUGGUGGCAAAACACAAGUUUUUGUCAGUUAUUUUGGCUUUGUAUAAUGUUUAAAAAAUCAAUAAUAUCCAGUUUUCCUGUUAUCUUGUCAGUUCUUUUUAUAUUGAAAUUUCCUAAAAUUAAGUUAACAUGUAUUUUGAAUGCUUUCAGUCUUUAUGAUUUGAGCAUUUUGUAUAAUUUAAUUAUUUUGCAAAUAACUGAGCAAAAUAAGAUAUAAUGGUCAGAACAAGUUGCUUUCUGGUCAGGACAAGUGAAGUUUUGGUCUACUUGUCCGACUGGACAAGUGGCUCCAAAAGUUAAUGUCGAGCCCUGUGUCAUGACAGGCAGGGUAUUUUAUUCAAUUGGGCUUUCUACACAUAAAUGCAAAUGUUAAUGCUACUGACAACCGUAUGUCUGCAUUUCGCAUCAGAGAUCGACCUCAAUGGCACCGCUUUAUUGAAGAGUCGAGACGUCAGUAAACGUUGCGACAUCCUUCCAAUCAAUAUAGGAACUAAAACGAUACUAAAUCAAAUGUAAAGGACAGGUGUUUACACGUAUUUUUAAACCAGCACAUUUGUGGCAUGCGAAUAGUUCAAUAUUAUUUAACACAUCAGGCGGUAAGCCUAAACUAAAAAUCACUCAAGAGCACAAUUUAACUACACCAUUCAAAAGCGCAAGCCCAUGGACACCAUGGCCCGAACAACCCGCCCGACCCAGCCUAUGCCCAAAGCGCACACAGGACGCCCCCAAUGCCCAUAAACCAGGCAAAUCGCAAAAAUUAAACACAGUGGAACAUAAAUUUGUAACAACCAGCUUCGAUAUUUGCAAGAUUUAUCCACCACCACCAAUCAAGAGAAAUGCACAUGACUUCAUGUACACCCCAAACAAAAAUUGGUAGUAAUGAACGAUUCAGGUUUUACCGCGAGCGGGAUACGCAACCCUACUGCCAUUUUUCUUUUUCUUUCUUUUGUUAGCUCACCUGUCACGAAGUGACAUGGUGAGCUUAUGUGACCAUGUGAUUUCCGGCGUUCCUUGUGCGUGCGUGCGUGUGUGCGUGCGUCCGUCCGUCAACAAUUUGUUUGUGUAGACAGUAGAGGUCACAGAUUUCAUCCAAUCUUUAUGAAAUUUGGUCAGAAUGUUUAUCUUGAUGAAAUCUGGGUUGGGAUUGUAUUUGGGUCAUCUGGGGUCAAAAACUAGGUCACUAGGUCACAUAAUAGGUCAAAUAAUAGAAAAACCUUGUGUAGACAAUAGAGGUUGCAGUUUUCAUCCAAUCUUUAUGAAAUUUGGUCAGAAUGUUUAUCUUGAUGAAAUCUGGCUUGGGAAUGUAUUUGGGUCAUCUGGGCUCAAAAACUAGGUCACUAGGUCAAAUAAUAGAAAAACCUUGUGUAGACAAAUGAGGUCGCAGUUUUCAUCCAAUCUUUAUAAAAUUUGGUCAGAAUGUUUAUCUUGAUAACAUCUGGGUUGGGAUUGUAUUUGGGUCAUCUGAGGUAAAAAACAAGGUCACUAGGUCAAAUAAUAGAAAAACCGUCAACAAUUUAUUUGUGUAGACAGUAGAGGUCACAGUUUUCAUCCAAACUUUAUGAAAUUUGGUCAGAAUGUUUAUCUUGAUGAAAUCUGGGUUAGGAUUGUAUUUGGGUCAUCUGGGUCAAAAACUAGGUCAUUAGGUCAAAAACUAGGUUACUAGGUGAAAUAAUAGAAAAACC